RNAcentral lists this ribosomal RNA (1557 nucleotides) under Triticum aestivum (bread wheat). RNAcentral describes it as "partial small subunit ribosomal RNA". Lineage: Eukaryota; Viridiplantae; Streptophyta; Magnoliopsida; Poales; Poaceae. The record is from RNAcentral.
AUGGGGCACGCUUCUCAGCUUCUAGAGCACCUACCCCAACAAUGGCAGCUUCUUCUAUUCGUUCUCCCACUUAUCUCCCUCCUCUUCCUACACCGGAGAUGGAAAAGAACCGGUGGCAUUAGGCUGCCACCAGGGCCAUGGAAGCUGCCCGUCAUCGGCAACCUCCAUCAGAUCGGCCCGUUGCCCCACCGGAGCCUGUCGACGCUCGCAAGGCAGCACGGGCCAGUCAUGAUGCUGCGCCUGGGCACGGUUCCGACGGUGGUGCUGUCCUCGCCGGAGGCCGCGCGGGAGGCUCUAAAGAUGCACGAUGCGGACUGCUGCAGCCGGCCUUCCUCGGCCGGGCCGCGUCUGCUGUCAUACGGCUACAAGGACGUCGUCUUCUCCCCCUACAGCGACUACGUCCGCGACAUGCGCAAGCUUUUCAUCAUCGAGCUGCUCAGCCGCCGCCGCGUGCAGGCCGCUUGCUACGCUCGCGAUACCCAGAUGGGAAAUCUUGUGAAGAACCUCACCAAUACCGGUCGAAAGCCGGUGGCGGUUGCCGACCACAUAUUUGCCACGCUGGACGGGAUCAUCGGCUCUUUCGCCUUUGGCGAAAACUACGCGGCGAAGCAGUUCAAGGGGCAGUUUGUCCCCGUGCUGAACGAGACCAUGGACAUGCUGAGCGGCUUCUCUGCCGAGGACUUCUUCCCCAACAGCGUUGGUCGCCUCGUCGACAAAGUUACGGGCAUUAAGUCCCGCCGAGAGAGGAUCUUCAAGAAGAUUGAUGCCUUCUUUGAACAAGUCAUCGACCAGUGCAUCGACGACGAUCCCAGUCGCAGAAGGCAGCCCGGUGACGAGUGCGCAUCUGUACUCGUGCAAGAGCUCGUUGACCUUUGGAAAAAUCCUGCAGGAGCCACCAACAGCUUCACAAGGGAACAUGCCAAGGCCAUCCUCAUGAACACUUUCGUCGGUGGCAAUCACACUAGCUCAGUGACAAUAAACUGGGCAAUGGCGGAGCUAAUUCGACAGCCAAGGAUACUCGGUAAGGUACAAGACGAAAUCAGGGCCAUCGGAGGCAAGACAGAGCUCCUGCAGCACGACGACAUGCCCAAGCUCAAAUACCUGAAGAUGGUGGUGAAGGAGACGCUGCGGCUGCAUCCCCCGGCGACGUUGCUCGUCCCGAGGGAGACCACAGGGCGGAUUCAGGUCGCAGGAUACGACAUCCCAGCCAAGACAAAGAUCAUCGUGAACGCAUGGGCUAUCGGUAGGGACCCCAGCGCUUGGAAUGAUGAUCCGGAGGAAUUUCGCCCGGAAAGGUUUCAGGACAAGGAUGUUGACUUCAAUGGGGCGCAUUUCGAGCUUUUGCCGUUUGGGUCGGGACGACGGAUCUGCCCGGGAUUGGCCAUGGGCGUGGCCAACGUCGAGUUCAUCUUGGCCAAUAUGCUCUACUGCUUCAACUGGGAGCUCCCUGAUGGGGUGAGCUGUGAGGAUGUCAACAUGGAGGAGGCAGGGGCGCUGACUUUCCGCAAGAAGACGCCACUCAUGCUGGUACCGACAAGGUACAAUAUGUGUCCUUGA